AUUAAAAUGGCAGAAAAAAAUAUGCAAGGAAUUUAAGCUUCCUUUAUGGAUAUUAUUCCUUUUAAUA
Molecule: transfer RNA, 67 nt
Filed under: Ixodes acutitarsus
Lineage: Eukaryota; Metazoa; Arthropoda; Arachnida; Ixodida; Ixodidae
Description: tRNA-Leu
Source: RNAcentral